Molecule: long non-coding RNA, 3704 nt
Organism: Anolis carolinensis (green anole)
Lineage: Eukaryota; Metazoa; Chordata; Lepidosauria; Squamata; Anolidae
Source: Ensembl
AUGGCACAAUUAAAACAUGGGAAAGGAAGAAUACGUUCCCAGGGAAGUCUAGGAAGCCACUGGGUCGCUGUGAGUUUUCCAAGCUAUAUGGCCAUGUCCCAGAAGCAUUCUCUCCUGACCUUUCACCCACAUCACCCACCUUUCACAAUCUUAAAGGUUGUGAGGCCUGUUGGAAACCAGGCAACUGGGGUUUAUAUCUGUGGAAUGUCCAGAGUGGGAGAAAGAACUCUUGUCUGCUUGAGGCAAGUGUGAAUGUUGCAAUUGGCCAACUUGAUUAGCAUUGAAUGGCCUUGCAGCUUCAAAGCCUCACUUUUUUCUGUCUGGGGGGAAUCCUUUGUUGGGAGGUGUUAGCUGGCCCUGAUUGUUUCAUGUCUGGAAUUCCUUAGUUUUCUGAGUGGUGUUUUUUAUUUACCACUCAGAAAACAGAGGAACUAUUUAUCUUUCCUUUUCCAUUGCUCUUUUUUCCUCCUCCUCUCCUUUCUCCUUCUACUUGCAAGAGGCUUCCUUGGAGUCUGAUUUACACCCCUUUCCGCAUAUGGCCUAUGGGUGGAGUGCCGGGAAUUCACUGUGAAAUUUCCCAAGAGUCCAGUCCUCUCCCCUCACACUCCAAAGGUCAUAAACAGAGAAGGCAGUGGGCCUGGGAGCCUUUGAAAUUAUUUCACCCAUAGGAUACUUCUGUUCUCCAGACAGAAGUCGCAUUUCAUUCCACCCCAACUGCAGGACUACAGCCUUUGCCGCUUGCUUCCCACACAGGACAAAGAACAUCCAGAAGAAAAGAAGUUGAGCAGCAGGAGAUUACAUACCCAAAAGACACCAGGUAGUACCUUCUGCUCUUGGAAAGUAACCAGGGUUAGCUCUGGGUUGUCGAUAGCUUUCAUAGUGGAAUCACUGGGUUGUUGUGCAUUUUCCGGGUUGUAUGGCCAUGUUCCAGAAGCACUCUCUCCUGGCAUUUUGCCCACAUCUAUGGCAGGCGUCCUCAGAGGUUGUGAGGUAUAUUGUAAAACUAAGUAAGGGAGUUUUGUGGAAGGUCCAGGGUGGGAGAAAGGACUCUUGUCUGUUGGAGACCAGUGUGAAUGUUGUAAUUAAUCACCUUCAUUAGCAUUAAUGGCCUUGCAAGCUUCAUUAAGGUGAAGAUACAUCCAGGGCAAAACAUCAGGAGAGAAUGUUUCAGGAACAUGACCAUACAGCAAGGAAAAUGCACAGCAACCCAGGGUUAGCACUGGUUAAUGCUUGGAUGGUAGGCCAUCAAUGAAUACCUGGCACUGUACUAGGCUAUAUAGAGGAAUGAACAAAACCACCUCUUAGUACAGGCAGUCCUCCAGUUACAAAUAAUAAUAAUAAUAAUAAUAAUAAUAAUAAUAAUAAUAAUACUUUAUUUAUACCCCGCCACCAUUUCCCCAACGGGGACUCGGGGCGGCUUUCAUGGGGCAGUGCCCAGAACAAUACAAUGUAACAAAAUAUAAAACAACAUAUCAUAACACAAUUAAAAUACAAUAAAUAAUAAUGUACAGUACAACACGAGAUCAGAAAAGCAAUAUAACAUGGGCAGGCCGCAUGAACACUAAGCUAAAACUCGGGGUGGGAAAGAGAUAAGAAUAAAAACCACGGGGAACAGAGACAUAAGAUAGUAGAACAGUCUAUAGAUGUUGGGGGGAGUAACAAAAGAAGUAUAUGACAGCUACUCUCCAAAAGCGCAACGGAAGAGCCACGUUUUUAAAUCUUUCCUAAAGGCUAAUAAGGUGGGUGCUUGCCUGAUUUCAAUGGGCAGUGAGUUCCAUAAUUGGGGGGCCACAGCAGAAAAGGCAGAAAAACGGGAAAGGAAAUUCACUCCUGAAAGACAUUUGGUUUUAAGUUGCUAUUCAGUCCUGGGAUUUGUAGUUUGAUAAGGCAGCAGCAUUCAUUGGGGGAGAAGGCUAAAUACUCUGUAAAACCACAACCUCUAUGCUUCCAUAGCAUUAAGCAGUAACAUUUAAAGUGGUGUCAAACUGCAUACAUUGUAAGGUGUAGAUGCACUCAGGGCCUCUCCCUCCAGACCUGGGCCCUGGCAGGGGUUAAGGUAGAGGCAUGAUUCCCAGUAAGGGCAAAGCCCCUGAUCAAUUAAAUGCUGUUCCGUUGAUGUCAGUUUCCCUCAUUAACAUGGGAUUUAUUACCACCUCUUGACUCCCAACAGAAACAGCAAUGUGCAUUUUCCAGGUGCAGGUUAAAGCGCACUGCAGAAAUAUGUGUCUCUGGCUGGUUCUACACUGCCCUAUAUCCCAGGAUCUGAUCCCGGAUUAUCUGCAUAGCCCAGAUAAUCUGGCAGUGUAGAUUCAUAUAACCCAGUUCAAGGACAAUGCUCUGUGAUCAAAUCCUGGAAUAUAGGGCAGUGCAGAUCCAGCCUUGAUCAAUCUAGGUAAUUGUUACAGAUUUUAUAACUAAUAUUUCCUCCCAUCCCUAAAAUUCUAUCAUAAAACUUCAUUUGUACAUUUUGAAAGACAGAAUGCUUCAGUUAACAAACUUCUAAACCAGUGAAACUCCUUUUAUGACUGGCAACACUUUCCUCCCAUCUCUGGCUGCUGAAAGUGAUUUUUAAAGCAACACUGACAUUGGAACAAGGGUCUAAAUACCCUAAAGCAGUGUUUCACAAACUCUGUUCAUCCAGAUACUUUGGACUUCAGUUCCCACAGUUCCUAACAACUGGUAAAAUAACUGGGAUUUCUGGGAGCUGAAGUCCAAAACACCUGGAGGAGCACAGUUUGUGAAACACUGCUGCCCUAAAGGCAUCACAUCCUGUCGGAUCUUGGAAGCUAAGCAGAGUCAGCCCAUGGUUCAUGGAAUUAUAGGAGUUAUAGUUUUACAAAGUGUUUAGACUUCUCUUCCAAAGAGGGUUGAUGCCCAUGAUUCCAUAACAUUGAGCCAUGACAGUUAUAGUGAUGGGAAACUGCAUUAAUUAUACAGUAGAGAUGGACCCUAACGCAUAUGCAGAACAUCUUCUCAUCCAAAUUGUUUUGAGAACCUUUCAACAGCUUCAUUUUUUAAAAAACAAAUGUUCUUAUUUUGUUCAUGAUAUUCCACAUUCUAUGACACAGAGGGUGGGAUAGUUUUCUAUGACUGGGGCAGGAAGAAGAUAUUUUAUGUCGUGGAAAGACCUUUUUUUUUUUUUUAAUAAACCAGGAAGUAAAUUCAGGGUGAUACAAUAGAAAUAUUUUUUUUUUCCUUUUUAGAGAAAGUUUUAAAAAUUGAGGAGGAGGCCAGAGUGGGGUAUGUGCAGCACUUCAUGGUCCCUGGGUGAUGGCUACAAACAAUGCAGAUCCCAGUCACCGGUAGUUGCCCAGAUGAGACUUCCAUAGUCUCCACCCCCAAUUUAUACACUGCUGGUUUCUCAGGGAGCUUGAAAAUCAAAGCAUCCGCAAUUCUUCUUGGAUGCUGCUAGCAUCCUGCUGUUUUCUUUAUCCUCUGUUAAGAACUAAAGCCCCACUACAUCCAGUGGGGUUUACUCUCAUGUAAUUGUACCUAGGAUUGUUUCCUUAAUGAUUUAAUUUGUUCAACGCAAUAGUUUUUUAAGAAAUAACCUUGGGGAAUGAGGUUAAUAUUUUCCAUGAGUCUUAGGACUACUGUUUAGUAAGAACUUGCCUUGGAAACAUGUGCUGAAAAACAACUUCUUGCAAAUGGAGGCUCAGAGCCAUUGUUGAGGAAUGACAGGAGCUGCAAUUCAACAUGAUUUC